RNAcentral lists this non-coding RNA (22 nucleotides) under Arabidopsis thaliana (thale cress). Lineage: Eukaryota; Viridiplantae; Streptophyta; Magnoliopsida; Brassicales; Brassicaceae. The record is from RNAcentral.
CAUUUACAGACACGCCACUGGU